GGGGGCGUAGCUCAGUCGGUAGAGCAACGGCCUUUUAAGCCGUGGGUCGCGCGUUCGAUUCGCGCCGCCCUCA
Molecule: transfer RNA, 73 nt
Filed under: Planctomycetes bacterium DG_23
Lineage: Bacteria; Pseudomonadati; Planctomycetota
Also listed under: 1 other name
Description: tRNA-Lys
Rfam family: tRNA
About the family: Transfer RNA (tRNA) molecules are approximately 80 nucleotides in length. Their secondary structure includes four short double-helical elements and three loops (D, anti-codon, and T loops).
Source: RNAcentral